Molecule: ribosomal RNA, 561 nt
Filed under: Bipolaris oryzae
Lineage: Eukaryota; Fungi; Ascomycota; Dothideomycetes; Pleosporales; Pleosporaceae
Description: eukaryotic LSU rRNA
Rfam family: 5.8S ribosomal RNA (bases 189-342)
Source: RNAcentral
CGGAGGGAUCAUUACACAACAAAAUAUGAAGGCCUGGCUUUCGCGGCCGGCUGAAGUAUUUUUUUCACCCAUGUCUUUUGCGCACUUGUUGUUUCCUGGGCGGGUUCGCCCGCCACCAGGACCAAACCAUAAACCUUUUUUUCUUAUGCAGUUUCCAUCAGCGUCAGUAAAAACAAUGUAAUUAUUACAACUUUCAACAACGGAUCUCUUGGUUCUGGCAUCGAUGAAGAACGCAGCGAAAUGCGAUACGUAGUGUGAAUUGCAGAAUUCAGUGAAUCAUCGAAUCUUUGAACGCACAUUGCGCCCUUUGGUAUUCCAAAGGGCAUGCCUGUUCGAGCGUCAUUUGUACCUUCAAGCUUUGCUUGGUGUUGGGCGUUUUUUUGUCUCCCUCUUUCUGGGAGACUCGCCUUAAAACGAUUGGCAGCCGGCCUACUGGUUUCGGAGCGCAGCACAUUUUUUGCGCUUUGUAUCAGGAGAAAAGGACGGUACUCCAUCAAGACUCUACAUUUUUCACUUUUGACCUCGGAUCAGGUAGGGAUACCCGCUGAACUUAAGCAUAUC